This 444-nucleotide ribosomal RNA is filed under the name uncultured bacterium. RNAcentral's name for it is "SSU rRNA". It matches the Rfam family "Bacterial small subunit ribosomal RNA", at positions 26 to 518 of the family's 1533-position model. The record is from RNAcentral.
AGGAUGAACGCUGGCGGUCUGCUUAACACAUGCAAGUCGAACGGAGUAGCAAUACUUAGUGGCGGACGGGUGAGUAACGCGUGAGAAUCUACCUUCAGGACGGAGACAACAGUUGGAAACGACUGCUAACCCCCGAUGUACUGAAAAGGCAAAUAUUUAUAGCCUGAAGAAGAGCUCGCGUCCGAUUAGCUAGUUGGAGAGGUAAAAGCUCACCAAGGCGACGAUCGGUAGCUGGUCUGAGAGGACGAUCAGCCACACUGGGACUGAGACACGGCCCAGACUCCUACGGGAGGCAGCAGUGGGAAUUUUCCGCAAUGGGCGAAAGCCUGACGGAGCAAGACCGCGUGGGGGAAGAAGGCUCUUGGGUUGUAAACCCCUUUCUCUGGAGAACACAAUGACGGUACCAGAGGAAUCAGCAUCGGCUAACUCCGUGCCAGCAGCCGC